GUGCUUACAUUGGCAGCACACAUACUAAAACUGGAACAAAACAGAAAAGAUUAGCAUGGCACUGGUGCAAGGAUGACAUGCAAAUUCAUAAAACGUUCCAUAUUUUU
Molecule: small nuclear RNA, 107 nt
Organism: Otolemur garnettii (small-eared galago)
Lineage: Eukaryota; Metazoa; Chordata; Mammalia; Primates; Galagidae
Source: Ensembl